This 359-nucleotide long non-coding RNA is filed under the name Mytilus galloprovincialis (Mediterranean mussel). The record is from RNAcentral. Lineage: Eukaryota; Metazoa; Mollusca; Bivalvia; Mytilida; Mytilidae.
GAGUGGUAGAUGGUUGGGCAAGUUGUAUACACGGUGUCAUCAAAUCAUGCAGUCCGGAGAACGCAUAUGUAAUUCUAUCAAUAGUUGAGGCAGCUAAACCAGGCAUUUGUUUGAUGUAAACAAAACAUUUUUCACUGUGGAACAAGUAAUUAAAAUGCAUGUUCAAAAAGUUGUGUAUUUAACUUUCAAUAAUCUUUACUGACCACUUUCUCUAGUUGUUUGCAACUUUUGUUUUCAUCAUGUAUAGAUUUAACGUGUAUUAGUUUUGACCUGUAAUACGGAGUUUUGGGAAUAUUGAAAAUUAAUUACCGAAGUAAGCUGUCUUCUUUAUACAGGAACAUGCAUAAUAUGAAACAAAC